Molecule: long non-coding RNA, 589 nt
Filed under: Homo sapiens (human)
Lineage: Eukaryota; Metazoa; Chordata; Mammalia; Primates; Hominidae
Description: HSALNT0309224
Source: RNAcentral
UACCUUGCCAGGAGUUAUCUGCUGGAGAUCCCCAUAUUUCUCUACUUUGGGAGCCUUCCUGUCUCCAGAAAAUAUCCCUCUGUGGCUCCAAAGGUCUCAGUCUCAGGGUGAUGUCCUGGCUACUUUUCUUUUGCACCAUAAAUGAAAUGACAGUGAAGACAUCAACCUCGCCAUGUUGGAAAACUGCCUAAGAUGUUUCUUGGAACUGUGGCCAGUCCCAGGAACAGAAAGGCAUGAUGUUCACAGCUAAAACUUCCUCACAGCGGCCUGCUGUACCUCCUCAUGCCUGAGAAUUGCUCUGAGGAAGGACUCAUUUACCACAUUUGCACUGCAGAAGUCAACACCCAGCGAUCAAAGGACAUCCUGGAAAAGUCAGUAUAGAUCCUGAACCAAAAACCUCAGAAGUGAUUCCAGGCUGCUGCCCAAGAGCUGACAUGCAUACAUUUGUUCAUCACUCAACAAAUAUUUAUUGAGUGCUAUCUCUGUUGUAAACACUGUACUGGAUGUGAAUGUCCAGCUGCAGAAGAAACAGACCCAAGCCUCCGGGAGCUGACUGUUCCCAGGAGGGGGCCCUUGGCUCUUUGCAGUG